Molecule: long non-coding RNA, 111 nt
Organism: Nanorana parkeri
Lineage: Eukaryota; Metazoa; Chordata; Amphibia; Anura; Dicroglossidae
Exons: 3
Source: RefSeq, a predicted model, not a curated record
CACAAACAUGUAUAUAUACACAGUAUUUUAAUUCCUUACUUAUAAUACUUUGAAUUUAGCAUUAGGAGGCAGAUUUACUAAGAAGCACAGCGUGAACACAGCUACUACAAU